GCCAGACUCCUACGGGAGGCAGCAGUGGGGGAUAUUGCACAAUGGGGGGAACCCUGAUGCAGCGACGCCGCGUGGGUGAAGGAGCGUUUCGGCGCGUAAAGCCCUAUCGGCAGGGAAGAAGGAGGACGGUACCUGACUAAGAAGCCCCGGCUAACUACGUGCCAGCAGCCGCGGUAAUACGUAGGGGGCAAGCGUUAUCCGGAUUUACUGGGUGUAAAGGGGGCGCAGACGGCGAUGCAAGCCAGGAGUGAAAGCCCGGGGCCCAACCCCGGGACUGCUCUUGGAACUGCGUGGCUGGAGUGCAGGAGGGGCAGGCGGAAUUCCUGGUGUAGCGGUGAAAUGCGUAGAUAUCAGGAGGAACACCGGUGGCGAAGGCGGCCUGCUGGACUGCAACUGACGUUGAGGCCCGAAAGCGUGGGGAGCAAACAGGAUUAGAUACCCCUGUAG
Molecule: ribosomal RNA, 447 nt
Filed under: uncultured bacterium
Lineage: Bacteria
Description: partial 16S ribosomal RNA
Rfam family: Bacterial small subunit ribosomal RNA
Source: RNAcentral